UUGGUGGCUCUUACUCAGCUGGAACUGUAGUCAAUGAAGACCUAGAAAAGCAAGGAUGUCAUCCUUUUUAUGAAUCAGUCAUGGCGAAUCCCUUUGUUGCUGAGUCUGGCAUGCCCUUCGACACCUGUCAGCAGCCCCCUGUGGAGAGCUUUGCCAAGGGAGGUGCUGCUGAGGACUGGGAAACUGGCAGAGGCCGAGACAGAUGGGAAUGAAGGGUUUCCGACCACAGAAGUUCUCCUGCAGCUGGCGAGUGAUGCUUUGCCCAGUGACAUGACCUUGGCCCUCGCUUACCUCCUCGCCUUACCACAGGUGUUAGAUGCGAACAGGUACUUUGAGACGCAAGCACACUCAGCCCUGUCCCUCCAGCUGGCAGUGUACUACUACAGCCUCCAGAUCUACGCCCACCUGGUGCCUGGCUUCAGUGACAAGUGCCACCCUCUGUACAGAGCUGACCCCAAAGAGGUGAUCGGGAUGGUCACCAGGCACGUGACUCACUGUGGACUCAAAGCCUGGCCGGAGGCCCUGGCCCCACUCACCGCGCAGCUGCACCACUACAAUGAGCAGCUUCUGGACUUAACACAGGCACAGCUCCUGCAGGGCCUGGGGAAGGGCGUGGACGUGCAGCGCUUCACCACUGAUGACCAGUACAAGAGGGAGACCAUCCUUGGGCUGGCAGAGUAAGGGCACCUUUGUGUCUCGAGGGGCUGGGUCCGAGAUGCGCACAGACGGAGCUGUCAGAAUGCUCGUCUUAGUCCUCUGAUGACCCAUGAGUGCUGCAGCUGUCCAGAGCUUGGCCCCUCCUCCUGGCCAUAGAAGAGAUGCGUAUGUCUUUCCAAACAGCAGUAGAUGCUUGCGACUCAGCAAGUGCUGAGACUGCUGGUUGUAAAGUUCCCCAAGCCUUUGAUUCCCCUGUGCCAGGAUGACGACAUGGUAGAGGAAGUAGGAGAGGGUCAGAGACAGGUGACAUGAUUACUGAUGGACUUUUAAAAGUCAGAUUGCUGAAAAUCUCACUCUCCCAAGUACAUGUCAAUUAGGC
This 1036-nucleotide long non-coding RNA is filed under the name Cavia porcellus (domestic guinea pig). RNAcentral's name for it is "lncRNA (ENSCPOG00000036972.1)". The record is from RNAcentral. Lineage: Eukaryota; Metazoa; Chordata; Mammalia; Rodentia; Caviidae.